GAUGAAGAACGUAGCGAAAUGCGAUAAGUAAUGUGAAUUGCAGAAUUCAGUGAAUCAUCGAAUCUUUGAACGCACCUUGCACCCUUUGGUAUUCCGAAGGGUAUGCUCGUUUGAGUGUCAUUGUACUCUCACACUUCUAAUUCCUUUCGGGAUUGGGAGCGAUGGACUUGGGUGUUGCUGCUUUAGUUGUGGCUCACCUCAAAUAAGUUAGUGCAACUCUUGGUUGGACAUAGUACGGCGUGAUAAGUGUCUUCGCCGGCGCCUCUGUAAGGAGGGUGGCCGAUCGGGAGCUCUGUGCUUCAAACCGUCUUCGGACAAUCUUUGACAACUUGACCUCAAAUCGAGUAGGACUACCCGCUGAACUUAAGCAUAUCAAUAAGCGGAGGA
This 387-nucleotide unclassified non-coding RNA is filed under the name soil metagenome. RNAcentral's name for it is "partial contains 5.8S ribosomal RNA, internal transcribed spacer 2, and large subunit ribosomal RNA". The stretch from base 1 to 120 matches the Rfam family "5.8S ribosomal RNA", at positions 35 to 154 of the family's 154-position model. The record is from RNAcentral.